Molecule: ribosomal RNA, 538 nt
Filed under: Rhodotorula glutinis
Lineage: Eukaryota; Fungi; Basidiomycota; Microbotryomycetes; Sporidiobolales; Sporidiobolaceae
Description: eukaryotic LSU rRNA
Rfam family: Eukaryotic large subunit ribosomal RNA
Source: RNAcentral
AAGAGCUCAAAUUUAUAAUCUGGCACCUUCGGUGUCCGAGUUGUAAUCUCUAGAAGUGUUUUCCGCGUUGGACCGCACACAAGUCUGUUGGAAUACAGCGGCAUAGUGGUGAAACCCCCGUAUAUGGUGCGGACGCCCAGCGCUUUGUGAUACACUUUCAAUGAGUCGAGUUGUUUGGGAAUGCAGCUCAAAUUGGGUGGUAAAUUCCAUCUAAAGCUAAAUAUUGGCGAGAGACCGAUAGCGAACAAGUACCGUGAGGGAAAGAUGAAAAGCACUUUGGAAAGAGAGUUAACAGUACGUGAAAUUGUUGGAAGGGAAACGCUUGAAGUCAGACUUGCUUGCCGGAGCUUGCUUCGGUUUGCAGGCCAGCAUCAGUUUUCCGGGGUGGAUAAUGACGGUUUGAAGGUAGCAGUCUCGGCUGUGUUAUAGCUUUCCGUUGGAUACAUCCUGGGGGACUGAGGAACGCAGCGUGCUUUUUGCGAAAGACUCGUCUUUUUCACGCUUAGGAUGCUGGUGGAAUGGCUUUAAACGACCCGUU